This 479-nucleotide ribosomal RNA is filed under the name uncultured bacterium. Its description in RNAcentral is "bacterial SSU rRNA". It matches the Rfam family "Bacterial small subunit ribosomal RNA", at positions 28 to 507 of the family's 1533-position model. The record is from RNAcentral.
GACGAACGCUGGCGGCGUGCUUAACACAUGCAAGUCGAACGAGAAUCUGUGGAAAGAGGAUUCGUCCAAUUGAAACAGAGGACAGUGGCGGACGGGUGAGUAACGCGUGAGGAACCUGCCUUUCAGAGGGGGACAACAGUUGGAAACGACUGCUAAUACCGCAUAACGCAUAGAGAUCGCAUGGUCUUUAUGCCAAAGAUUUAUCGCUGAAAGAUGGCCUCGCGUCUGAUUAGCUAGUUGGCGGGGUAACGGCCCACCAAGGCGACGAUCAGUAGCCGGACUGAGAGGUUGAACGGCCACAUUGGGACUGAGAUACGGCCCAGACUCCUACGGGAGGCAGCAGUGGGGAAUAUUGGGCAAUGGGCGCAAGCCUGACCCAGCAACGCCGCGUGAAGGAAGAAGGCUUUCGGGUUGUAAACUUCUUUGUCAGGGACGAGAAGAAGACGGUACCUGACGAAUAAGCCACGGCUAACUACGUG